Non-coding RNA from Marchantia polymorpha subsp. ruderalis, 163 nucleotides. The record is from the annotation of a GenBank genome assembly. NCBI's taxonomy places the organism in Eukaryota, Viridiplantae, Streptophyta, Marchantiopsida, Marchantiales, Marchantiaceae.
UAGUCGGAAUCUCGACGUGCUGGCAUGAUGAGCGUGAAAAGACCAAUUGGUGCUGUAGCGGUGAAUGUGAUCUUCAGGUUCCGGAUCCACGUCGAGAUUCACCGCUACAGCACCAAUCGGACUGUUCUACGCUCAUCAUGGUCAGUUCUCAUCUGUUUGACUA